This 606-nucleotide ribosomal RNA is filed under the name uncultured bacterium. Its description in RNAcentral is "bacterial SSU rRNA". It matches the Rfam family "Bacterial small subunit ribosomal RNA", at positions 1 to 619 of the family's 1533-position model. The record is from RNAcentral.
CCCUUAAGUUUGAUCCUGGCUCAGAAUGAACGUUGGCGGCGUGGAUUAGGCAUGCAAGUCGAACGGGCCGCAAGGCCAGUGGCGCAAGGGUGAGUUAGGCGAUGGCAACCAACCCCGCGAAUGGGGAUAGCCACGGGAAACUGUGGGUAAUACCCAGCGAUGUUUGAUGAGGGCAUCUUCAUCAAACCAAAGGUGCGAGUCCGUCGCGGGACGGGCCAUCGUGAUAUUAGAUAGUUGGCGGGGUAACGGCCCACCAAGUCAGCGAUGUCUACCGGGCGUGCGAGCGUGGCCCGGCACACUGGGACUGAGACACUGCCCAGACUCCUACGGGAGGCUGCAGUCGAGAAUCUUCGGCAAUGGGCGCAAGCCUGACCGAGCGACGCCGCGUGGAGGAUGAAGGCCCUCGGGUUGUAAACUCCUGUCGAGGGGGAUGAAGGGCCUGCGAAGAGCAGGUCUUGACCGAACCCUGGAGGAAGCACGGGCUAAGUUCGUGCCAGCAGCCGCGGUAAGACGAACCGUGCGAACGUUAUUCGGAAUCACUGGGCUUAAAGCGCGUGUAGGCGGGCAGGCACGUCGUACGCUGAAAGCCUCCGGCUCAACCGGAGA